ACUCAAACGGGAGGCCGCAGUAAAGGCAUAUUGGUCAAUGGACGCAAGUCUGAACCAGCCAUGCCUGCGUGGAGGAUGAAUGGCCCUCUGGGUUUGUACCAACCUUCUUUUAUCUGGGAAGAAACCCAUCUUUUCUAAGGUGGUUGACGGUACCAGUUGAAUAAGCAUCCGGUAACUCCGUGCCAGUCAGCCGCGGUAAUACGGAGGGUGCAAGC
This 215-nucleotide ribosomal RNA is filed under the name uncultured bacterium. RNAcentral's name for it is "partial 16S ribosomal RNA". It matches the Rfam family "Bacterial small subunit ribosomal RNA", at positions 335 to 539 of the family's 1533-position model. The record is from RNAcentral.